This 429-nucleotide ribosomal RNA is filed under the name uncultured Psychrobacter sp. RNAcentral's name for it is "bacterial SSU rRNA". It matches the Rfam family "Bacterial small subunit ribosomal RNA", at positions 355 to 776 of the family's 1533-position model. The record is from RNAcentral. Lineage: Bacteria; Pseudomonadati; Pseudomonadota; Gammaproteobacteria; Moraxellales; Moraxellaceae.
UGGGGAAUAUUGGACAAUGGGGGCAACCCUGAUCCAGCCAUGCCGCGUGUGUGAAGAAGGCCUUUUGGUUGUAAAGCACUUUAAGCAGUGAAGAAGACUCUUCGGUUAAUACCCGGAGACGAUGACAUUAGCUGCAGAAUAAGCACCGGCUAACUCUGUGCCAGCAGCCGCGGUAAUACAGAGGGUGCAAGCGUUAAUCGGAAUUACUGGGCGUAAAGCGAGCGUAGGUGGCUUGAUAAGUCAGAUGUGAAAUCCCCGGGCUUAACCUGGGAACUGCAUCUGAUACUGUUAGGCUAGAGUAGGUGAGAGGAAGGUAGAAUUCCAGGUGUAGCGGUGAAAUGCGUAGAGAUCUGGAGGAAUACCGAUGGCGAAGGCAGCCUUCUGGCAUCAUACUGACACUGAGGCUCGAAAGCGUGGGUAGCAAACAGG